GAGUUUGAUCAUGGCUCAGGACGAACGCUAGCGGCGUGCCUAAUGUAUGCAAGUCGAGCGAGGCGCCGGACUUCGGUCCGGCCGUCGAGCGGCGAACGGUUGAGUAACACGUGGGCAACCUGCCCCAGAGCCGGGGAUAGCCCGCCGAAAGGCGGCGUAAUACCGGAUGUGGCGGAGGAAGGCAUCUUCUUCUUGCUAAAGGAGCGAUCCACUCUGGGAGGGGCCCGCGGCCUAUCAGCUUGUUGGUGAGGUGACGGCUCACCAAGGCGACGACGGGUAGCUGGUCUGAGAGGAUGGUCAGCCAGACAGGGACUGAGACACGGCCCUGACUCCUUUGGGGGGCAGCAAUGAGGAAUAUUGCACAAUGGGGGAAACCCUGAUGCAGCGACGCCGCGUGGGCGAUGAAGUCCUUCGGAAUGUAAAGCCCUUUUCUCGGGGAAGAGAAUGGACGGUACCCGAGGAAUAAGCCCCGGCUAACUACGUGCCAGCAGCCGCGGUAAUACGUAGG
Molecule: ribosomal RNA, 508 nt
Filed under: uncultured bacterium
Lineage: Bacteria
Description: bacterial SSU rRNA
Rfam family: Bacterial small subunit ribosomal RNA
Source: RNAcentral